RNAcentral lists this unclassified non-coding RNA (381 nucleotides) under uncultured bacterium. RNAcentral's name for it is "contains 16S-23S intergenic spacer region". The record is from RNAcentral.
UCCUCGUUGAAGCGAGGCAGUCUGUCCAGAGUGCUCCAGCCUCUCGGCCGGGUGGCAACAGGACACAGGGGUUGCGCCCGUUGCGGGACUUAACCCAACAUCUCACGACACGAGCUGACGACAGCCAUGCAGCACCUCCACGGCAGCCCCGAAGGGAAACUCCAUCUCUGGAGCGGUCCACCGCAGUUCAAACCCAGGUAAGGUUCUUCGCGUUGCGUCGAAUUAAACCACAUGCUCCACCGCUUGUGCGGGCCCCCGUCAAUUCCCUUGAGUUUCAACCUUGCGGCCGUACUCCCCAGGCGGAACGCUUAAUGCGUUAGCUGCGCCACUGAAUAGCAAGCUAUCCAACGGCUAGCGUUCAUCGUUUACGGCGUGGACUAC